Molecule: ribosomal RNA, 430 nt
Filed under: uncultured bacterium
Lineage: Bacteria
Description: bacterial SSU rRNA
Rfam family: Bacterial small subunit ribosomal RNA
Source: RNAcentral
GUGGGGAAUAUUGCACAAUGGGCGCAAGCCUGAUGCAGCGACGCCGCGUGAGGGAUGACGGCCUUCGGGUUGUAAACCUCUUUCGCCAGGGACGAAGCGCAAGUGACGGUACCUGGAGAAGAAGGACCGGCCAACUACGUGCCAGCAGCCGCGGUAAUACGUAGGGUCCGAGCGUUGUCCGGAAUUACUGGGCGUAAAGAGCUCGUAGGUGGUUUGUCGCGUUGUUCGUGAAAACUCACAGCUCAACUGUGGGCGUGCGGGCGAUACGGGCAGACUGGAGUACUGCAGGGGAGACUGGAAUUCCUGGUGUAGCGGUGGAAUGCGCAGAUAUCAGGAGGAACACCGGUGGCGAAGGCGGGUCUCUGGGCAGUAACUGACGCUGAGGAGCGAAAGCGUGGGGAGCGAACAGGAUUAGAUACCCUAGUAGUCC